UGUUGUUAUUGUUGUUGUAGAUGGACCCAACACCUUUAUUUUUAUUUAUUUCUGUUUAUGUUGUGCUGAGGAUCAAACCCAGUGCCUCACACCUGCUAGGCAAGUGCUCCACCACUGAGAUACAACCCCAGCCCCAGAAAGCAGGUUCUUAAAAUGCUGUUACAGAGAUUGGCCUUUGUGUUCUGGAGAAGGACUCUUCGUCUUCCUUUUAUUAUUAAAACAUAUCAAUAGAGGACUUCAUAGGUUCCAUUUGUCCUUGCUGAAAACAGCCCCCACCCUCCUUUUCUUCUUCAUCCUCCUUCUCUCUCUCAUCUAUAUCCUUCCUGCUUCUUUCAUUUUCAUGCACCUUUCCUUUUCCAUAAUCAUAUAUUUUUCUUUCCUACCCAUGACUCAGGCCAGCACACACAACCUCAUAGUUUGGCCUCCCUAAGUGGAAUUCAGGGAGUAAAACAAGAAUCCCUGCUGAUGGCAUAACCACACCUGAUGACAUGCUUUACCCAUCACCCUUCUGCCCCCUCACACAAAGCCCAUGACACCAGGAAACCUGAGGAUUCACAGGUAGUACCUGAUGCAGACUGUCUGCACAGGAAUUAGAGUGGGAGGAGGGUAGGGGUGGAGGAGGUAGGAUAGAAAGGUGACAUGCCUUUACUAUAAUAUCAAUCACUAACACUUAUUAAGCACUUACUCUAUUCCAGACAGUUUUGCAUGCUUUAAAUUUAUGUAGCUUUCAGACCCAUAUUUAAAAGCAGAAGAGAAUUUACAUUCUAUGUCAAACCCUUUUAUUUAAACCCUAUUAUUUACAUGACCCUCUUCUCAACCAGACCAUGGAAAUGUUUUUAUAUUUGUAAAUAAACACAUGCACAUAUGUACACACAUAGAGACACAUACACACUCACAAAAUCAGAUUUCCAAAAUGAAAAGGGCUGAAAGUAAAGAAAAAAAAUAACACCAAGAAAAAUGUUUUAAGGGCUGGGGUUGUGACUCAGAGGUAGAGCACACACCUAGCACGCGUGAGGCACUGGGUUCGAUCCUCAGCACCACAUAAAGUAAAAUAAAGACUCUGUG
RNAcentral lists this long non-coding RNA (1065 nucleotides) under Marmota monax (woodchuck). The record is from RNAcentral. Lineage: Eukaryota; Metazoa; Chordata; Mammalia; Rodentia; Sciuridae.